Molecule: long non-coding RNA, 1452 nt
Filed under: Gadus morhua (Atlantic cod)
Lineage: Eukaryota; Metazoa; Chordata; Actinopteri; Gadiformes; Gadidae
Description: lncRNA (ENSGMOG00000025354.1)
Source: RNAcentral
AUGGCGGAUUCAAAGUCUCUACAACAGCUGAAAAGAGAGAGAACGACUGCCAAGCAGAGGUUCACCCGACAAGCAAACUCACUUCUGAAGUCCUGCCGGAAAAUGUCGGCGGAAGAACUGAUGGAAGCCUUCAGCAAGGUCAAGCUUGAGGCUGAAAAGGUGAUGGAGGCAAAUGAGGAGGUGGAAAUCUUCACAGACGAGUCGGAGCUCGAAGCCACUGCGAAAGCAGACAUCAAUGCUGAGGUGAAGAGAACGACGGAGGACUGCGAACAGAAACUGGAAGAGGUGGAGGAUGUCGUCCAAAAGGUGCUGUGGCAAAAUUUUGGCUGCGCUGAACUCGCUCUGGCACUGGAGGCAGCUGAAAAGGACUGCAAGCGGCUGACGGGAAGAAAGUCCGACCUGAGGCUGGAGGUUUAUGAGCUGAUGCUCAGCAACCUUGAGCGGCUGGUGAGAACGAAAGACACCAUGCGGCAAUGGACUCGGUGGGUCCCAGAUGAGGAGCGACCUGACUACCAGCAGCGCAUCAGGAAUGUGGAGGGCUCACUGUUGGAGUUAACCUCUGAGAAGGCUGGCCUGCUGCAGACAAAGCUGGACAGCAAGUCCUCAGAAAAAACAUCACAACAGUCACCCAACAUCAAGCUGAAGCCAACAGCGCUUCCACAGUUUGAUGGCAACAAGCGCAACUUCUACCUCUGGAGAAGGGAAUGGGAGGCACUCCAAAGGCAAGGAGAACCAACCGGGUCCAAAGAGGUGAAGAAGAUCCAGCUGUUGGGCAGCCUGGAGGACAAAGUGGCAAGAGAUCUGCGCCUGUCAACUUACGGGACGGCAGAGGAGAUCUUCCGGGUCCUCGGAAACCGGUUUGGCAACAAAACUUCUAUUGCAUUGGAAAUCAUUGAGGAACUACAGGCGCUGCCACCAGUAAAAAGUCACCAACCUAGGAAGAUUGUGGACUUAAUCCAAAUCGUGGAAAGGGCCCUGUACGACCUCAGUGCACUGGGAAACACUGGCGCUCUAAAGAACCCACUCGUCACGAAGUCCCUGGAAAGUAAGCUGGCAGAGGGCCUAAAGAAAGAAUGGCUGCUCCAUGUGGCAGAAGAGGAAGACUCUGAAGACGCCUCCCCGGAAGACAGGUUUGACAUGCUCCUCAAGUUCCUGAGAAGUCAGGAGAAGAUUUAUGAGCAGCUAGACCAACUGAAGGAUGAUGAACCCAGCAGGAGAGACAUUAGAGUCCCACAAAGGCAUGCGCACACAAAGACCACCAACUCCCAAAGCACCCAAGCACCCUGCGUUGUCUGUGGAGAGAGGGGCCACAGAAAAAAGCUGUACUACUGCAAAAAAUUCAAAACUUUCAAAGUACCUGAGAAGAAGGAAGCAGUUGAGCGGAUCAGCGCAUGUGGGAGGUGUCUCGAGGUCCACGACGUUUACGCAGAGUGCAAGACCACCUUCCUGUGA